CCUACGGGAGGCAGCAGUGAGGAAUAUUGGUCAAUGGGCGCGAGCCUGAACCAGCCAAGUAGCGUGAAGGAUGAAUGCCCUACGGGUUGUAAACUUCUUUUGUAAAGGAAUAAAGUGAGGCACGUGUGCCUUUUUGUAUGUACUUUAUGAAUAAGGAUCGGCUAACUCCGUGCCAGCAGCCGCGGUAAUACGGAGGAUCCGAGCGUUAUCCGGAUUUAUUGGGGUUAAAGGGAGCGUAGAUGGGGUGUUAAGUCAGUUGUGAAAGUUUGCGGCUCAACCGUAAAAUUGCAAUUGAUACUGGCAGCCUUGAGUACAGUAGAGGGAGGCGGAAUUCGUGGUGUAGCGGUGAAAUGCUUAGAUAUCACGAAGAACUCCGAUUGCGAAGGCAGCUUACUAAACUGCCACUGACAUUGAUGCUCGAAAGUGUGGGUAUCAAACAGGAUUAGAUACCCGUGUAGUC
RNAcentral lists this ribosomal RNA (460 nucleotides) under uncultured bacterium. RNAcentral's name for it is "partial 16S ribosomal RNA". It matches the Rfam family "Bacterial small subunit ribosomal RNA", at positions 338 to 795 of the family's 1533-position model. The record is from RNAcentral.